Molecule: unclassified non-coding RNA, 364 nt
Filed under: uncultured fungus
Lineage: Eukaryota; Fungi
Description: sequence contains ITS2
Rfam family: 5.8S ribosomal RNA (bases 1-154)
Source: RNAcentral
AACUUUUGGCAACGGAUCUCUUGGUUCUGGCAUCGAUGAAGAACGCAGCGAAAUGCGAUAAGGAAUGUGAAUUGCAGAAUUCAGUGAAUCAUCGAAUCUUUGAACGCACAUUGCGCCCCCUGGUAUUCCGGGGGGCAUGCCUGUUCGAGCGUCAUUACAACCCUCAAGCUCUGCUUGGUAUUGGGCCCCGCCAGUUCUGGCGGGCCCUAAAGUCAGUGGCGGUGCCAUCCGGCUCCGAGCGUAGUAAUUCUUCUCGCUCUGGAGACCCGGUUGUGUGCUUGCCAGCAACCCCCAAUUUUUUAAGGUUGACCUCGGAUCAGGUAGGGAUACCCGCUGAACUUAAGCACAUCAAUAAGCGGAGGCU